UGGUAGUNCACGCCGUAAACGAUGAGUGCUAGGUGUUAGGCCCUUUCCGGGGCUUAGUGCCGGAGCUAACGCAAUAAGCACUCCGCCUGGGGAGUACGACCGCAAGGUUGAAACUCAAAGGAAUUGACGGGGGCCCGCACAAGCGGUGGAGCAUGUGGUUUAAUUCGAAGCAACGCGAAGAACCUUACCAGGUCUUGACAUCCCGAUGCUAUUCUUAGAGAUAGGAAGUUACUUCGGUACAUCGGAGACAGGUGGUGCAUGGUUGUCGUCAGCUCGUGUCGUGAGAUGUUGGGUUAUGUCCCGCAACGAGCGCAACCCUUAUUGUUAGUUGCCAUCAUUAAGUUGGGCACUCUAGCGAGACUGCCGGUAAUAAACCGGAGGAAGGUGGGGAUGACGUCAAAUCAUCAUGCCCCUUAUGACCUGGGCUACACACGUGCUACAAUGGUCGGUACAACGAGUUGCGAGCCGGUGACGGCAAGCUAAUCUCUGAAAGCCGAUCUCAGUUCGGAUUGGAGGCUGCAACUCGCCUCCAUGAAGUCGGAAUCGCUAGUAAUCGCGGAUCAGCACGCCGCGGUGAAUACGUUCCCGGGCCUUGUACACACCGCCCGUCACACCACAAGAGUUUGUAACACCCGAAGUCGGUGAGGUAACCUUUUAGGGGCCAGCCG
Molecule: ribosomal RNA, 668 nt
Filed under: uncultured bacterium
Lineage: Bacteria
Description: bacterial SSU rRNA
Rfam family: Bacterial small subunit ribosomal RNA
Source: RNAcentral